UACAGAGGUGGCAAGCGUUUGUUCGGAAUUACUGGGCGUAAAGGGCGCGUAGGCGGUUCGUUAAGUCCUGUGUGAAAUCCCCCGGCUCAACUGGGGAACUGCACAGGAAACUAGCGGGCUUGAGUUCGGGAGAGGGAAGCGGGAAUUCCGGGUGUAGCGGUGAAAUGCGUAGGAUAUCCGGGAGGAACACCGGGUGGCGAAGGCGGCUUCCUGG
This 214-nucleotide ribosomal RNA is filed under the name uncultured bacterium. RNAcentral describes it as "partial 16S ribosomal RNA". It matches the Rfam family "Bacterial small subunit ribosomal RNA", at positions 524 to 732 of the family's 1533-position model. The record is from RNAcentral.